RNAcentral lists this ribosomal RNA (201 nucleotides) under Staphylococcus aureus. RNAcentral describes it as "partial 23S ribosomal RNA". It matches the Rfam family "Bacterial large subunit ribosomal RNA", at positions 13 to 211 of the family's 2925-position model. Lineage: Bacteria; Bacillati; Bacillota; Bacilli; Caryophanales; Staphylococcaceae. The record is from RNAcentral.
AAGGGCGCACGGUGGAUGCCUUGGCACUAGAAGCCGAUGAAGGACGUUACUAACGACGAUAUGCUUUGUGGAGCUGUAAGUAAGCUUUGAUCCAGAGAUUUCCGAAUGGGGAAACCCAGCAUGAGUUAUGUCAUGUUAUCGAUAUGUGAAUACAUAGCAUAUCAGAAGGCACACCCGGAGAACUGAAACAUCUUAGUACCC